This 465-nucleotide ribosomal RNA is filed under the name uncultured Klebsiella sp. RNAcentral's name for it is "bacterial SSU rRNA". It matches the Rfam family "Bacterial small subunit ribosomal RNA", at positions 338 to 795 of the family's 1533-position model. The record is from RNAcentral. Lineage: Bacteria; Pseudomonadati; Pseudomonadota; Gammaproteobacteria; Enterobacterales; Enterobacteriaceae.
CCUACGGGGGGCUGCAGUGGGGAAUAUUGCACAAUGGGCGCAAGCCUGAUGCAGCCAUGCCGCGUGUGUGAAGAAGGCCUUCGGGUUGUAAAGCACUUUCAGCGGGGAGGAAGGCGGUGAGGUUAAUAACCUCAUCGAUUGACGUUACCCGCAGAAGAAGCACCGGCUAACUCCGUGCCAGCAGCCGCGGUAAUACGGAGGGUGCAAGCGUUAAUCGGAAUUACUGGGCGUAAAGCGCACGCAGGCGGUCUGUCAAGUCGGAUGUGAAAUCCCCGGGCUCAACCUGGGAACUGCAUUCGAAACUGGCAGGCUAGAGUCUUGUAGAGGGGGGUAGAAUUCCAGGUGUAGCGGUGAAAUGCGUAAAGAUCUGGAGGAAUACCGGUGGCGAAGGCGGCCCCCUGGACAAAGACUGACGCUCAGGUGCGAAAGCGUGGGGAGCAAACAGGAUUAGAUACCCGAGUAGUC